This 74-nucleotide transfer RNA is filed under the name Fasciola gigantica. RNAcentral's name for it is "tRNA-Thr". Lineage: Eukaryota; Metazoa; Platyhelminthes; Trematoda; Plagiorchiida; Fasciolidae. The record is from RNAcentral.
ACCGCGAUAGCUCAGCUGGCAGAGCAUCUGCCCAGUAUGCGGAGGGUAUCCGCGUUUCGAUCCGGAUCGCGGGC